AACAGACCAAUGGAGCGGGGACGUCCAGGGAGGAAGGCGGGGUGGGGGCGGUGGCCAAUGGGCCCACGGCGUGGGCGGGCCGAGGCGCUCCGGAAGCGGGCAGGGGAAAGUGGUGGCCGGCUCGAAGUGGGAGUACGGCGACCUGGGCGGAAAGCGGGACCUGGCGGGUGGGUACUCAGCCGGGCCGGGCCCUCGGAGCUGCAACUGGACUACGUCAAGCAGAAGGUCAACUGCCACGAUUUCUCCAUGGUCGCCCUUUUUUCUGCGGCCACAGUACAGGACAGAUGGAAAGGAUCCAGAGUGCUCUGUGAAUAUGAGAUGCACUAUAUUUUCCAGAAAUUCCUGACUUUAUUGCGGAUGGAAUUUUGGUUUUUUCACCAGUUUUGCUGUGUACUGUGUGCUAAAAGCAAUGACCGCCACAGGAUCCUGUUUUGGAAUCUGCAUGGAGCUGAUGGUGACUAGGACCCCGGUGACUACAGGAACGUCCCAGCUAGCGGAUGGGGGUCGGUGGUUUUGUGUUGAGGACAGAUGCAGGCCCCUAGCCCUGUGAAAGCUAAGUGGAGGGACCAGGGCUGGGGAGGGAUUGGGAGGAGGAGGGGACAACUUGGCAAUUGUAGGAGGGGUUUUGAAGUUGUGUGGUAUUAGAAAGAACAUGUGCCUGGUGGCUCUGAGUAUACAUGGCAGCUCAGUGAAGUGUUUCUGGUUUUGCAGGCUGUGUGGGCUGCCUUUUGAAAUGGGUGAGUGUUUGAGGUGAGCUGGGUAAUGGAGAGGAGGCACACUGGGCUGGUGAUUUCUUGCACAUUCAAUGGUAUUUUUGUGUCUCUUGGUUUCUUAGGUACCACAAACAGAUUGGCUCUGGAAUCCAUGCAGAGAUUUCUGCCUGGCUUUCAGGGGCACGUUUCCCUGGCAGUCUGGUAGCAUCUCUCUGGUGCAGUGCUGCCAGCCAGAUGUCCCUCUCCCUUGGGUAGGACAGGAAAAAGCCCCCGGUCAAAUGAUGACUGGGCGUUUUGGAGACGGAGAGCACAAUGGUGUCAGUUCAGAGCUGGGCCAGUUAAAUUAGUGCCAAAGGAAAGUCAAACACUUUUAUAGUGUAUUUUUAUUGACUGUAUCUAAACGUACACAGAGCUUUCCAGGGAAAGGGAAGGGAGGAGGCGCUUCCCCCCCACCGGGCAGAGGGGUUUGUUACACUGUUGGGCUGAGAAGGUGUUCCAAGUGGCAUCAGUCAGUCUUAAUAGGGACUUGAAGCGUCGGGAGGGCUCUGGCUUUGGCAGGCUGUGCCGUCUUUGAAGCUGAGCUGUUUCCCCAGAAUCAUCCUGUAGCUCAGCUUCUGUCCUGUCCCUCAGUCUGAGGGAAUUCCUCUACUCUCUCCUCUGUGCUGUUUUGUUUGAUGCUGAACUACAGUUGGGGAUUGUUGUUUUGCAGGUGCUUCGUUGUCCACGUCUCAUGCUGCUUGAUAGCUGCCCCAGCCUGGGUUUGCAGCCAGUGGUGGGCCUGAGGGGAAGGGACCAGCCCUGGGUCUGGGCAUUUGGUGCUGUCUUUUUGCGGUGAAUAAAAAGGUGGGGGGAGGGUAUUUGGAGAGUGAU
Molecule: long non-coding RNA, 1583 nt
Filed under: Calidris pugnax (ruff)
Lineage: Eukaryota; Metazoa; Chordata; Aves; Charadriiformes; Scolopacidae
Description: lncRNA (ENSCPUG00000016133.1)
Source: RNAcentral